UCAGCGCUAUAUAAACGGGUUGCUCAGUACACAUUAUUCAUCCAGUUCAUAAAUUGUUGUGAUUGCUAUAUUGACUAUCUACGGAAUCCUCAGAUUUAAGCAAUAAAUCGUCUGCAGAUCCAUAGUGAUAAUUCAUAUUCAUAUACACAGAAAGCAACUGAAGAAUUAAACAUGUGCAACGGCGAAAAGGGAGUAGCGGCGGCGAUGGCAGAGCGGCGUGGUCAGGGGACCAGCAGCGUUCCUAUUCACUUCCUGUUACGUCACUUCGGUGGCGUCUGUUGGAGUUAGGGAGCCAGACUGGAUUACACUAGGGUUUACCCUAGCAACCGAUGACAACAACUAUCAUCCACAGAAACCGAGUCAU
Long non-coding RNA from Dreissena polymorpha, 364 nucleotides. RefSeq lists it as uncharacterized. The record is from RefSeq and is a predicted model, not a curated record. Lineage: Eukaryota; Metazoa; Mollusca; Bivalvia; Myida; Dreissenidae. The transcript is spliced from 3 exons.